This is a non-coding RNA of Paramuricea clavata, 246 nucleotides long. The record is from the annotation of a GenBank genome assembly. Lineage: Eukaryota; Metazoa; Cnidaria; Anthozoa; Malacalcyonacea; Plexauridae.
UGAAGACGUGUAAUUGACAUCAGGAGGAGAAACUUUGGGAGAAGUAAAGAUCAGAUCAGAGGAGGGAUAUUCCAAGGAGACAGUCUGUCACCAUUGUUGUUUGUGUUGACACUGAUACCUAUGACUAUGGUCUUGAAUGCUACAAGGACAGGAUACCAGCUUGGAAAAAAAAGGUCAUUUUAAUCACCUCUUGUUCAUGGAUGACUUCAAACACUAUGCAAAGAAUGUGAAUGAACUAGAUUCUCU